Molecule: ribosomal RNA, 468 nt
Filed under: uncultured bacterium
Lineage: Bacteria
Description: partial 16S ribosomal RNA
Rfam family: Bacterial small subunit ribosomal RNA
Source: RNAcentral
GACGAACGCUGGCGGCGUGCUUAACACAUGCAAGUCGAACGGAAAGGCCCGGCGUUUGUGGGGUGCUCGAGUGGCGAACGGGUGAGUAACACGUGAGGAACCUGCCCUUGACUUUGGGAUAACUUCAGGAAACUGGGGCUAAUACCGGAUAUGAGCUCCUGCUGCAUGUUGGGGGUUGGAAAGUUUCGGCGGUUGGGGAUGGACUCGCGGCUUAUCAGCUUGUUGGGGGGGUAGUGGCUUACCAAGGCUUUGACGGGUAGCCGGCCUGAGAGGGUGACCGGCCACAUUGGGACUGCGAUACGGCCCAGACUCCUACGGGCGGCAGCAGUGGGGAAUAUUGCACAAUGGGCGGAAGCCUGAUGCAGCAACGCCGCGUGCGGGAUGACGGCCUUCGGGUUGUAAACCGCUUUCGCCUGUGCCGAAGCGUGCGUGACGGUAAUGGGUAAAGAAGCACCGGCUAACUACGUG